Molecule: long non-coding RNA, 547 nt
Organism: Thalassophryne amazonica
Lineage: Eukaryota; Metazoa; Chordata; Actinopteri; Batrachoidiformes; Batrachoididae
Exons: 3
Source: RefSeq, a predicted model, not a curated record
UUGGCGGACGUCAGAAAUCUCCAAUUGCUCUUGUAUUUUACUGUUUUGUGUUGAUCUCUGCCUCACGGCUCCUCUCGUCCCCCCACAGAUGAUUUCCCCGUCAAGGAAGGUGAUGUGCUCCAGUCAUUUUACAUGGUGCAGGAGUUUCUGGGUGAGGGCAACUUUGGGAAGGUGGCCAAGUGUUGACACAAAGUGACCCAUCAGGACGUGGCCAUCAAAAUCUCAAAGAACAAGCCCAGUAUUAUUAGAGAGACAAAGAAAGAGCUUGCCAAUCUUGAACUCCUGCGUGCCCUGGACCCAGAGAAGGCCAACAUCGUCAGGUGGUACGAUGCUUUCACACACGGAGACCUUAUUUGCCUCAAAUUUGAACUCCUGGUCCAGAGUCUUCAUGACUACGUGGAUGAGCUGAACUACGACCCUCUUCCCGUCAGUGAUCUCCGAGCUGUUGUGCAGCAAAUGGCCACCGCACUGCUCCACCUGCAGACCCUGGGUGUUAUUCAUUGCGACAUAAAGCCCCAGAAUAUUAUGGUGGUCGACCACAAUCAGC